Molecule: ribosomal RNA, 495 nt
Filed under: uncultured bacterium
Lineage: Bacteria
Description: partial 16S ribosomal RNA
Rfam family: Bacterial small subunit ribosomal RNA
Source: RNAcentral
GACGAACGCUGGCGGCGUGCCUAAUACAUGCAAGUAGAACGCUGAAGGAGGAGCUUGCUUCUCUGGAUGAGUUGCGAACGGGUGAGUAACGCGUAGGUAACCUGCCUGGUAGCGGGGGAUAACUAUUGGAAACGAUAGCUAAUACCGCAUAAUAGUAGAUGUUGCAUGACAUUUGCUUAAAAGGUGCAAUUGCAUCACUACCAGAUGGACCUGCGUUGUAUUAGCUAGUUGGUGAGGUAACGGCUCACCAAGGCAACGAUACAUAGCCGACCUGAGAGGGUGGUCGGCCACACUGGGACUGAGACACGGCCCAGACUCCUACGGGAGGCAGCAGUAGGGAAUCUUCGGCAAUGGACGGAAGUCUGACCGAGCAACGCCGCGUGAGUGAAGAAGGUUUUCGGAUCGUAAAGCUCUGUUGUAAGAGAAGAACGAGUGUGGGAGUGGAAAGUUCACACUGUGACGGUAUCUUACCAGAAAGGGACGGCUAACUACGUG